This is a long non-coding RNA of Gallus gallus (chicken), 557 nucleotides long. NCBI's taxonomy places the organism in Eukaryota, Metazoa, Chordata, Aves, Galliformes, Phasianidae. The record is from Ensembl.
UAAAGACUUGUGGAGAAUUCAGGUCAAUUCUGGAGGUUUUUCUUCAAACACUUUCAAAUUGCAAAGCAAGGUCUGUCCUUGCUUACUUGAAGUGGGUUCCUGUUCAUAUGUGGACACGCUGCUAGCCUGCAUAGAAGAGACAGAAGAUUUGUUCAACCCGCUUCUGAAGGCAGUGGAGACAAUUGAUGCUCUCUCAUGGCUGGUGCAGGAGCUUAUCCUAAGAGUGAAACAUCCUAGGACAGAAGCAAAAAGUGAAUGAGGAUAAAUAUUAACGAAAAAGGAGUCCUUGGAACAAGAUGAAUCUCUUCGUAUCAGUUUUGAAAUAGAAGUUUAGCAUUGACUUUGAGAGCUUUUCUGGCAAGUGAUGGAAGCAAGAACUGUACUGCUGAGAAGAGCAAUUAUUUGAAAGAAGGCUUGAAUAACUUUUGAAAACUAGAAGACUCAAUUUCAGCCAGAUCCUACAAUCAGAGAAAUGCAAGCGUUGUGCACUUUUAUGCCCCUUUCAGCAUUCAGAAUGAACUUGAAGUUGAUGUUAAUGCACAUGACUUAGAAGAUAC